Molecule: ribosomal RNA, 2936 nt
Filed under: Serratia marcescens
Lineage: Bacteria; Pseudomonadati; Pseudomonadota; Gammaproteobacteria; Enterobacterales; Yersiniaceae
Description: 23S ribosomal RNA
Rfam family: Bacterial large subunit ribosomal RNA
Source: RNAcentral
GGGUUGUGAGGUUAAGUGACUAAGCGUACACGGUGGAUGCCUAGGCAGUCAGAGGCGAUGAAGGGCGUGCUAAUCUGCGAAAAGCGUCGGUAAGGUGAUAUGAACCGUUAUAACCGGCGAUACCCGAAUGGGGAAACCCAGUGUGUUUCGACACACUAUCAUGUCAUGAAUACAUAGUGGCAUGAGGCGAACCGGGGGAACUGAAACAUCUAAGUACCCCGAGGAAAAGAAAUCAACCGAGAUUCCCCCAGUAGCGGCGAGCGAACGGGGAGGAGCCCAGAACCUGAAUCGGCUUGUGUGUUAGUGGAAGCGUCUGGAAAGUCGCGCAGCAAAGGGUGAUAGCCCCGUACACUAAAAUGCACAGGUCGUGAGUUCGAUGAGUAGGGCGGGACACGUGACAUCCUGUCUGAAUAUGGGGGGACCAUCCUCCAAGGCUAAAUACUCCUGACUGACCGAUAGUGAACCAGUACCGUGAGGGAAAGGCGAAAAGAACCCCGGCGAGGGGAGUGAAAUAGAACCUGAAACCGUGUACGUACAAGCAGUGGGAGCACCUUCGUGGUGUGACUGCGUACCUUUUGUAUAAUGGGUCAGCGACUUAUAUUUUGUAGCAAGGUUAACCGUAUAGGGGAGCCGUAGGGAAACCGAGUCUUAACUGGGCGACUAGUUGCAAGGUAUAGACCCGAAACCCGGUGAUCUAGCCAUGGGCAGGUUGAAGGUUGGGUAACACUAACUGGAGGACCGAACCGACUAAUGUUGAAAAAUUAGCGGAUGACUUGUGGCUGGGGGUGAAAGGCCAAUCAAACCGGGAGAUAGCUGGUUCUCCCCGAAAGCUAUUUAGGUAGCGCCUCGUGAACUCAUCUUCGGGGGUAGAGCACUGGUUUCGGCUAGGGGGCCAUCCCGGCUUACCAAACCGAUGCAAACUCCGAAUACCGAAGAAUGUUAUCACGGGAGACACACGGCGGGUGCUAACGUCCGUCGUGAAGAGGGAAACAACCCAGACCGCCAGCUAAGGUCCCAAAGUCAUGGUUAAGUGGGAAACGAUGUGGGAAGGCAUAGACAGCCAGGAUGUUGGCUUAGAAGCAGCCAUCAUUUAAAGAAAGCGUAAUAGCUCACUGGUCGAGUCGGCCUGCGCGGAAGAUGUAACGGGGCUAAACCAUGCACCGAAGCUGCGGCAGCGACGCUUAGGCGUUGUUGGGUAGGGGAGCGUUCUGUAAGCCGUUGAAGGUGGCCUGUGAGGGUUGCUGGAGGUAUCAGAAGUGCGAAUGCUGACAUAAGUAACGAUAAAGCGGGUGAAAAGCCCGCUCGCCGGAAGACCAAGGGUUCCUGUCCAACGUUAAUCGGGGCAGGGUGAGUCGACCCCUAAGGCGAGGCUGAAAAGCGUAGUCGAUGGGAAACAGGUUAAUAUUCCUGUACUUGGUGUUACUGCGAAGGGGGGACGGAGAAGGCUAGGCUAGCCGGGCGACGGUUGUCCCGGUUUAAGCGUGUAGGGGGUGUGACCUGGUAAAUCCGGUUGCAUACUAACCCUGAGGCGUGAUGACGAUGCACUACGGUGCAGAAGUAGUUGAUGCCCUGCUUCCAGGAAAAUCCUCUAAGCUCCAGGUAACAUUAAAUCGUACCCCAAACCGACACAGGUGGUCAGGUAGAGAAUACCAAGGCGCUUGAGAGAACUCGGGUGAAGGAACUAGGCAAAAUGGUGCCGUAACUUCGGGAGAAGGCACGCUGGCAUGUAGGUGAAGUCCCUCGCGGAUGGAGCUGAAGCCAGUCGAAGAUACCAGCUGGCUGCAACUGUUUAAUAAAAACACAGCACUGUGCAAACACGAAAGUGGACGUAUACGGUGUGACGCCUGCCCGGUGCUGGAAGGUUAAUUGAUGGGGUCAGCCGCAAGGCGAAGCUCUUGAUCGAAGCCCCAGUAAACGGCGGCCGUAACUAUAACGGUCCUAAGGUAGCGAAAUUCCUUGUCGGGUAAGUUCCGACCUGCACGAAUGGCGUAAUGAUGGCCAGGCUGUCUCCACCCGAGACUCAGUGAAAUUGAACUCGCUGUGAAGAUGCAGUGUACCCGCGGCAAGACGGAAAGACCCCGUGAACCUUUACUAUAGCUUGACACUGAACAUUGAGCCUUGAUGUGUAGGAUAGGUGGGAGGCUUUGAAGCGUGGACGCCAGUCUGCGUGGAGCCAUCCUUGAAAUACCACCCUUUAAUGUUUGAUGUUCUAACUCGGCCCCGUAAUCCGGGGUGAGGACAGUGUCUGGUGGGUAGUUUGACUGGGGCGGUCUCCUCCCAAAGAGUAACGGAGGAGCACGAAGGUUAGCUAAUCACGGUCGGACAUCGUGAGGUUAGUGCAAAGGCAUAAGCUAGCUUGACUGCGAGAGUGACGGCUCGAGCAGGUACGAAAGUAGGUCUUAGUGAUCCGGUGGUUCUGAAUGGAAGGGCCAUCGCUCAACGGAUAAAAGGUACUCCGGGGAUAACAGGCUGAUACCGCCCAAGAGUUCAUAUCGACGGCGGUGUUUGGCACCUCGAUGUCGGCUCAUCACAUCCUGGGGCUGAAGUAGGUCCCAAGGGUAUGGCUGUUCGCCAUUUAAAGUGGUACGCGAGCUGGGUUUAGAACGUCGUGAGACAGUUCGGUCCCUAUCUGCCGUGGGCGUUGGAAGAUUGAGAGGGGUUGCUCCUAGUACGAGAGGACCGGAGUGAACGCACCACUGGUGUUCGGGUUGUCAUGCCAAUGGCAUUGCCCGGUAGCUAAGUGCGGAAAAGAUAAGCGCUGAAAGCAUCUAAGCGCGAAACUUGCCUCAAGAUGAGUCUUCCCUGGGCCUUCAAGGCCCCUGAAGGAACGUUUAAGACUAAGACGUUGAUAGGCUGGGUGUGUAAGUGCAGCGAUGCAUUGAGCUAACCAGUACUAAUGAUCCGUGAGGCUUAACCUUACAACACCGAAGGUGUUU